GGGGAUGUGGCUCAGUGGUAGAGUACUUGCCUAGCAUGCACAAGGCUCUGAGUUCAAUCCCCAGUAGUACCA
RNAcentral lists this transfer RNA (72 nucleotides) under Cavia porcellus (domestic guinea pig). It matches the Rfam family "tRNA". Rfam says of the family: Transfer RNA (tRNA) molecules are approximately 80 nucleotides in length. Their secondary structure includes four short double-helical elements and three loops (D, anti-codon, and T loops). Further hydrogen bonds mediate the characteristic L-shaped molecular structure. tRNAs have two regions of fundamental functional importance: the anti-codon, which is responsible for specific mRNA codon recognition, and the 3' end, to which the tRNAs corresponding amino acid is attached (by aminoacyl-tRNA synthetases). tRNAs cope with the degeneracy of the genetic code in two manners: having more than one tRNA (with a specific anti-codon) for a particular amino acid; and 'wobble' base-pairing, i.e. permitting non-standard base-pairing at the 3rd anti-codon position. The record is from Rfam by way of RNAcentral. Lineage: Eukaryota; Metazoa; Chordata; Mammalia; Rodentia; Caviidae.